Nothobranchius furzeri (turquoise killifish) is the source of this 357-nucleotide non-coding RNA. The record is from RefSeq and is a predicted model, not a curated record. Lineage: Eukaryota; Metazoa; Chordata; Actinopteri; Cyprinodontiformes; Nothobranchiidae.
UUUACUUGGUAAAACCUUUUUGGGUCAAAACUUUCUCAGUUUUUGCUGUGAAGUGGAAGCCAUCUUUUACUUUUAGUAGCUUUGUUUGUGCAUUUCUCCAUCUUCUUUGAAGAUUUUGUUUCCUGAUUUGCCAACUACAACCGCUACAACCUGCCAAGAUGCCUCGUGGCAAAGGGUACCGUAAAGCUCAGGCCUUGAAGAGCAGACAGUUUAUGCCGAAGCCUGUGGAGGAGCUGUUCGAGGUUGUGCCAAGCUGUACGGCUUUUACUCCACGUCACGGAACAGGCUUCAGGCACAGGGUUUGUCGUUGGCCCUUGUCGCCUAACACAGGCAAAAGCUUGAAGGUUGUCAUCCCAC